Molecule: ribosomal RNA, 253 nt
Filed under: uncultured bacterium
Lineage: Bacteria
Description: partial 16S ribosomal RNA
Rfam family: Bacterial small subunit ribosomal RNA
Source: RNAcentral
UACAGAGGUCCCAAGCGUUGUUCGGAUUCACUGGGCGUAAAGGGUGCGUAGGUGGCAGUGUAAGUCUGAUGUGAAAGCUUCGAGCUUAACUCGAAAAUGGCAUUGGAUACUAUAUUGCUGGAGGUUUGGAGGGGGGACUGGAAUUCUCGGUGUAGCAGUGAAAUGCGUAGAUAUCGAGAGGAACACCGGUGGCGAAGGCGAGUCACUGGACAACAACUGACACUGAGGCACGAAAGCUAGGGGAGCAAACAGG